This 715-nucleotide ribosomal RNA is filed under the name uncultured bacterium. Its description in RNAcentral is "bacterial SSU rRNA". It matches the Rfam family "Bacterial small subunit ribosomal RNA", at positions 751 to 1473 of the family's 1533-position model. The record is from RNAcentral.
GCACGAAAGCGUGGGAGCNAACAGGAUUAGAUACCCUGGUAGUCCACGCCCUAAACCAUGUCAACUGGGUGUUGGGGAAGCGAUUCCCUAGUACCGUAGCUAACGCGUGAAGUUGACCGCCUGGGGAGUACGGCCGCAAGGUUAAAACUCAAAGGAAUUGACGGGGACCCGCACAAGCGGUGGAUGAUGUGGAUUAAUUCGAUGCAACGCGAACAACCUUACCUACCCUUGACAUGUGCCGAAGCCCGCUGAGAGGUGGGUGUGCCCGAAAGGGAACGGCAACACAGGUGCUGCAUGGCUGUCGUCAGCUCGUGUCGUGAGAUGUUGGGUUAAGUCCCGCAACGAGCGCAACCCUUGUCCCUAGUUGCUACGCAAGGGCACUCUAGGGAGACUGCCGGUGACAAACCGGAGGAAGGUGGGGAUGACGUCAAGUCCUCAUGGCCCUUAUGGGUAGGGCUUCACACGUCAUACAAUGGCCGGUACAGAGGGUUGCCAAGCCGCGAGGCGGAGCCAAUCCCAGAAAGCCGGUCGUAGUCCGGAUUGCAGUCUGCAACUCGACUGCAUGAAGUCGGAAUCGCUAGUAAUCGCGGAUCAGCAUGUCGCGGUGAAUACGUUCCCGGGUCUUGUACACACCGCCCGUCACACCAUGGGAGUGGGGUGCACCAGAAGUAGGUAGGCUAACCGCAAGGGGGCCGCCUACCACGGUACGCUUGCA